RNAcentral lists this long non-coding RNA (240 nucleotides) under Nicotiana benthamiana. RNAcentral describes it as "long non-coding RNA (NBEN_LNC027714)". Lineage: Eukaryota; Viridiplantae; Streptophyta; Magnoliopsida; Solanales; Solanaceae. The record is from RNAcentral.
AUAACAAACCUUAUAACCACUCAUGUUUAAGGUUAGUAUUUAUUACAUUUUAGUAUACCAUAUUUUAAAAUAUGUACCAAAAUUAAAUUUUAAGGUUUAAUUACCAAUCAUUUAUUAGGGGCUUUAUUUGUGGAAGAAAAUAAUAUUUUCAUAUUUUCUUUCCCCGUUUUUUUCUCUUUCUUCCACCAGAUUUUUAACAUUAUUAAUUAACCCCACGUUUUUUUUGUUAAUUUUUAUAUU